GGGCCGGGAAGUUCUGGUGCGGAUCGAGCGCUGCGGCCUGUGCCAUUCGGACCUGCACAUUCAGGACGGCUAUGCUGAUCUUGGCAAUGGCAAGAAGCUCGACACCACCCGCGGCAUGACCCUGCCCUUCANNNNNNNNGUCACGAGAUCGCCGGCGUCGUCGAUGAAGUCGGCCCUGAUGGAGACAAGUCGCUCAUCGG
This 200-nucleotide unclassified non-coding RNA is filed under the name Hevea brasiliensis (rubber tree). The record is from RNAcentral. Lineage: Eukaryota; Viridiplantae; Streptophyta; Magnoliopsida; Malpighiales; Euphorbiaceae.